UAUUUUUAGCCCAAUGUUAAAGCCCAAAUUUGAAGCCUAACCUCCCUUACCUUUCAUAAACCCAAAGCCCAUAACCCCAUCAGAUAUAGAAGAGAAGACCCUAGCUGAACCCUUAUUGGACACUCAUGGCUGCCUUCUUCUUCUUCUUCAGCUAGACUACAACAAAAUACCUAGAGAGCAAAAAACGGACCAGCCGCCCAAGACCCCUCCUCUCUAUCGCUUAACCAUCAUCGACACUACCAAAAAACCAUCCAGCCGCCCAUACUCCACCAACACUAAGAGACCAAGCUCCUAGCGUCGUCACACCAUCCCAACCCAAAACCGCCACCGACCUCAUCUUCUCCAAAACCAGUAUGCCCCUGCCUCCAGAACUCUUUUCACCAAACCAGUCGCAAACCAUCCCAUUUGCCCCAUCUCCCUCACUUUACAAACCGCCGGCAACCAACCCUAACUCCAUCACCGCCAUAGCCAAGCCCCAUCAUCUACACCUUCACUAACCACGCCACCAGCAGCUGAUUGCCCUAGCCCCUACUCCAAAUGCACAGCCUCUGGCAGCAGCCCAACACAAACGACCCAUCUCAAAACCACCAAAUCAGCCGCAACACAACCACCACAGUUGGGAACACGGACAAAAAUCUGGACAGAAGUUAAAAAUGGAGUUAAGUCGAGACUGAUUCGAGGUUCAUCCUGGGUUUGUCGCAUUUUUGAGUUCAACGUCGCCUCACGAUUAAUUGUCAAAUUCGUUUGAGGUUGAUUUCCUUUUUAUUCUAUUCUGUUUUGCUUAAUUAAUAUCAUGAUUCCUUCGUUUCCUUAGUCUGUCUUUGCUUUGUUUCGCUGAUUAAAUGAGUUAGAAUAUGAUUGUUCUAGUCUUGAGUGUCUUGGUGAUAUUUGGUGUUCCAUUUUACUGAUUAUUGUUCAAUAUUGUCUGAUUCUCUAGUAAAUGUGUUUGGAUGGGUUUGACGGCUAAAAUGGGUUCUUGAUUCCAUGGUUUCACUACUUCAUUAAGAGAUAAGGCCUUCCGGUUACUAUGCUGAUGACAGAAGAAUUUAAUUAAAUGAUUAAUUGGAUUGGUUGGUGGUUCAAAUAGUGAACAUGUACCAUGGGAAUUAGGCUCGUAUAUUAGAAAUUUAGGGUUUAAGAAUAAACAUUCAUAGGAUAAUUUAUUUCUUGUUAUUUAUUUAAAUCGGCCUGCUAGGAGCAUGCUUAGGACGACCACACUUGGGUAGGCAAGCUUUAGGAUUUUGUUAGUUUUGAGGCAAGAGGUUGUUUCCUUAGUUAAAUUUAUCCGGGGAAUGCCCUGAAGGAUUUGUAUAUAUUUUGUCCGGGGUAUGCCCCAAAGUAUUUGUAUUUGGAGGCCGAAAGUAGAACUUGUAGUAUUUUAUUUUUUUUUUCUUUUAUUGGGUGGGAACGACCUCGAGCCUCGUGUGUGUUUAUUUUGCUUUUUUCAUUUUUAUUUUUACCUCAAUUUGAAUUCUGAAAGCCAACUAGAUCAAGUAUGCAACCGUACUAGUUACGGGACUCGGGGAAUGCCUAACACCUUCUCCCCGAGUCAAAUGAACCCACUUACCCGAAUCUCAAGUGCUGACUUAAUUUGGAGUCCAAAGUGUUUUAAAAGGAAUUUUUUUUAAAUGGUGACCUGGCACACCAAAACAAUGUCUGGUGACUCUGAGUUAUUUCCUUUUGAACACAAUUUUGUCACUUUUUAAUUAAAAACCUUUUUGAGCUUUACAAAUUUUUUUAUUAAUUUAAGAGGGUUAGUGGGUUUGUAAAAAAAAGGGUGUGACAGCUCUGGCGACUCUGCUGGGGAGUUGCAGGUUCGAGAUGUUAUUUGAUCUUGUUGGCUUUUAGGAUAUUCGAUUGAGGUGUUUGUUUUUUAUUUGCUUUGUUUAUCUGGUUUGUUUGUCUUAUUUACUUAUUUUUUUGGUUAUUUGUUUAUCUCUUUUCUUUAUUUGUUACUACUUUAUAAACUGUCAUCAUUUGCAUAACCAUGAGUCUUCUUUCUACAACAAUUUUUCCGGAGUACGUUUGAGCAUACACGACCUUUUGUGAGUCAUUCGUGUCUUUAGGGGGUGGCGUGGGAGCGUGGAGUGGGCGGACAGCUAGAGCAGCUGCCAUCGACCACGUGCCGCCCCGAAUUGCCUUGUCUAGUGAACCUCAACCGUAGGUCAACCUUUAGGUCAUGCUUAUGUGCAUCAUAUUAUUUAAACCUAGAAGGGUUCGCCCCCAGGCACCGUGUCCCGUUGUAGGAGGCCUAUCCAAAUUAUGUUAAAAUGAGCUUAUGGCCCAAAAAGACAUUUAAUCAUCCCUAUGUUCUACAUGUUGCAUCUUUGAAGGUAAAAAGUUCAUUUGGCAGACCGAUGUUUCGGAAAGAAGGGUGAAAACGAAGCAAGUAGGGCUGAAUUAUAUUUUCUUUCACAACUUUUUCAAAAAAAAAAAAUCCAAUUUUGCACUUUCCCCUCAUUUUCCAAAAAAUAAAAAAAAAUCAAUCAACGAAAAUCCAAAAGAUUUUACAUUUUUCAUCAUUUCUCAAAAAGACAAAAAAUAUGAGUUUUCCAAAUUAGUUGCAUUUUUAAAGAAAAAGGCAUUUUCCCAUGUCCAAUCUUCCCGAACUAAGUAUACUUGAUUCUCGUCUUUCAGGGCGUGAUACAUAGGCAGCCCACAUAGGGUCCAGUCUUCCUAGUGUCUUAGGUUCUUGGCUUCGCGGGGUCUUAGCCAAAUCUUGCAUGUCUAGCCACGUUUGGUCACAUCGGUUGUUUUUGCAAAAUAGGGAUAUUUUCACAAAAUGGCUUGUUAACCCAUGUAUUAGAGUCCUAAGCCCACAACAAGGUAUGUCCAUUCCUGUUGAAUUUGCGUGUCUAGCCACUUUUGGCCAUAUCGACCAUUGUUGCAAAAUGGGGUCAUUUUCGCAAAAGUGGUUCAAUUACCCAUGUCGUAGGAUUUUGAGUCCACAAAUAGGUUUCAUAUUACUUUAUGGUCCUUCCUUUUUGAGUUUGCAUCUUUAGCCACUUUUGACCAUAUCGGUCAUUUUUUGCAAAAUGGGUCAUUUUUGCAAAUUAAUAUUGGGCCAUGAUUAUUGGGAGUUUGAAUCUAUAUAAGCCUUAGGGAGGUAUGUCCAUAUUUUUGAGGUCAUCUUUGUUGAGUUUGUGCUAAUAGUCACAUUUUGGCUACGUAGGUCAUUUUGCAAAUAUAGCCUUAAUCAUGCCUUGCAUGUGCCAAUAGAAGGUGUCGUGGAGUCACAUGUGUCUUGAGUCACUAACUCUAUUUGAUCUUAAUUUUCCCAUUCAGGUAUGGAUCAAUUUGCUAGAGUUUGAGCAUGACAAAUACCCCAGGACCAUUCUAGUCAAGACCAUUGCAUGCACGAGCUGCUUGAGGAAACAUUUUAUUUUUUUAGUCUAUUUUAUGUUGUCUUUAAUUAUUAGUCUUGUACAGUUAUAUUGAGUCUGUCAGUCUAGUUAAGAUUUUCGAGUCUUUUGUUAUAGUACUUCAUGUAUUGUAUUUGAAAAAAAGAAGUUAUAAAUGGAAAAUUCAAAAAGAUUUUUGUUUCUUAGUUUAUUUUGUUUGUUACUUUCCAGAACUACGCUUGAUCUGAUUCAUGAAAUUGGGAAAAUGAAGAAGGAAAUGGGCCAAGAAGAGUGAAAUUGGGAUGAUGCCAUACGACCUCCGUACCCUCGAAGCCAUUCUAGAACUGUUAACUGUGAUUAGGGGCAUUGCACGUAAUGUGAUAUUUCUAUCUGAUAAAUGCCCUAAAGCAAAC
Molecule: long non-coding RNA, 3754 nt
Filed under: Nicotiana tabacum (common tobacco)
Lineage: Eukaryota; Viridiplantae; Streptophyta; Magnoliopsida; Solanales; Solanaceae
Description: long non-coding RNA (NTAB_LNC001105)
Source: RNAcentral